RNAcentral lists this ribosomal RNA (465 nucleotides) under uncultured bacterium. Its description in RNAcentral is "partial 16S ribosomal RNA". It matches the Rfam family "Bacterial small subunit ribosomal RNA", at positions 28 to 507 of the family's 1533-position model. The record is from RNAcentral.
GACGAACGCUGGCGGCGUGCUUAACACAUGCAAGUCGAACGGAAAGGCCCUGCUUGCAGGGUACUCGAGUGGCGAACGGGUGAGUAACACGUGGGUGAUCUGCCCUGCACUUCGGGAUAAGCCUGGGAAACUGGGUCUAAUACCGGAUAGGAGCCAUUUUUAGUGUGAUGGUUGGAAAGUUUUUUCGGUGUAGGAUGAGCUCGCGGCCUAUCAGCUUGUUGGUGGGGUAAUGGCCUACCAAGGCGGCGACGGGUAGCCGGCCUGAGAGGGUGGACGACCACAUUGGGACUGAGAUACGGCCCAGACUCCUACGGGAGGCAGCAGUGGGGAAUAUUGCACAAUGGGCGCAAGCCUGAUGCAGCGACGCCGCGGGGGGGAUGACGGCCUUCGGGUUGUAAACUCCUUUCGCUAGGGACGAAGCUUUUUGUGACGGUACCUAGAGAAGAAGCACCGGCUAACUACGUG